AACAAUUCAUCUUAUACAUUAAAAAACAAUAACAAUAAUGACACAAAUAACAACAAAAAAACAUACAAAAACAAUAUGAUGUAUAGUGACACAGAGAAAGUUUAUAACAGCAAUAGUAACAAUAAUAAUAGGAACGAUGAUAAAGGCUAUACAGAUAAAGAAAGGGAACCUUUAUAUAAUUUGAAUAAAAAAAAUAAUACUGUUAAUAAUAGUUUAUAUGGUUGUAAGGAAAAUAGAAACUAUAACAGUAGUGCUGCUACUAACUAUACUAACAGUAGUAACAUUAACAGUAGUAAUAUUAACAGUAGUAAUAUUAACAGUAGUAAUAUCAACAGUAGUAAUAUCAACAGUAGUAAUAUCAACAGUAGUAAUAUUAACAGUAGUAAUAUUAACAGUGGCUAUAAUAACAACACAAACAGCACUGUAAGAAACUUAAAAAAUAAAUUGAAUGAACAUGUUUAUAAUAACAGUUUAGUUAAUAAAACAAAUUAUAAAAACACAACAUACUCGGAUAUGAACAAUGAUAACAAUAUAAAUGAUAAUAACAAAAAUAAUGAAUCUUUAAAUGUCGUAAAAAGUAAUAAAUUUAUUAAAACAACAUUGCCAAAAAAUGUUAGGAAUAAUGUACAAGAUGUUAAUUACAUGCAUAAUAAAAACAAGUAUGACAUACAAAAUCAAGAUAGUAUCUCCGGUACGACAAACUUCAACAAAACAGCAACAUGUAACAACAACACUGGAAGUUAUAGAUUAAAUAACAAAGGUCUAUACUCUCUGCACCCAAAGACGACUGAUAUUUAUUCAAAUAUUAAAAAGAACAUUAACAAUAACACAAGUGCUUAUAAACAAGAAAACGUGUUAAAUAAUAGCGGCAGUACUGGUGCUAUUAAUAAUAACAACAAUAGUAACGUUAUAGGUACGUAUGACUAUUAUUAUGAUAUGAGUUCCGAUAUUUCGUUAAAUAGUAAUAAUUUCAGUAAUAAUAAUAAUAAUAAUAAUGGUUGUACCGGUAUUUUCAACAUUGGUAGUAGCAGUCACACCAGUAACAAAAACGUGAGCAUUCACAGCAACAGCAACAGCAACAGCAACAGCAACAGCAACAGCAACAGCNNNNNNNNNNAACAGCAACAGCAACAGCAACAGCAACAGCAACAGCAACAGCAACAGUAACAGUAACAGUAACACUAAUGGUAGGAUUGGGAUAGACAACACCCAUAGCGAGGUCAACAUCAAAAACUCUAAUGUCACUGAUAUGCUAUCAAAUUACCUGAAAA
RNAcentral lists this long non-coding RNA (1271 nucleotides) under Piliocolobus tephrosceles (Ugandan red Colobus). RNAcentral describes it as "lncRNA (ENSPTEG00000017605.1)". The record is from RNAcentral. Lineage: Eukaryota; Metazoa; Chordata; Mammalia; Primates; Cercopithecidae.